AAAGUCGGGGCCUAAGGCCAGGUCGAAAGACGUAACCGGUGGACAACAGGUUGAAAUUCCUGUACCUUAAGUAAACAGAACUGUGGGGACACGUGUGGAGAGCACAAGCCGGAAAUGGAAAAGCCGGUGCAAGCGAGGUAGGAGUACAGUAGGCAAAUCCGCUGUACAAUCCGAAGACGUGAUGCGGACCGAAUUAAGAGUAGGGAAGUGUGUGAGCCGUGCGUCAAGAAAAGCCGCUAUUGUUUUACUUAGGCCCGUACCGUAAACCGACACAGGUGGAUGAGGAGAGAAUCCUAAGGCCGACGGGAGAAGCAUUGUUAAGGAACUCGGCAAAAUGACUCCGUAACCUCGGGAGAAGGAGUGCCAGCGAGAGCUGGCCGCAGAGAAUUGGCCCAAGCAACUGUUUAGCAAAAACACAGGUCUAUGCAAAACCGUAAGGUGAAGUAUAUGGGCUGACGCCUGCCCGGUGCUGGAAGGUUAAGAGGAGAGGUUAGCGGUAACGCGAAGCCUUGAAUUUAAGCCCCAGUAAACGGCGGCCGUAACGAUAACGGUCCUAAGGUAGCGAAAUUCCUUGUCGGGUAAGUUCCGACCCGCACGAAAGGCGUAAUGAUUUGGGCACUGUCUCAACAAUGCACCCGGUGAAAUUGAAAUACCAGUGAAGAUGCUGGUUACCUGCGCCAGGACGGAAAGACCCCAUGGAGCUUUACUCCAGCUUGAUACUGGGAUUCGGUAUUGCAUGUACAGGAUAGGUGGGAGGCUAGGAAGUGAUAACGCCAGUUGUCACGGAGCCGCUGUUGGGAUACCACCCUUGCAGUAUUGGAUUUCUAACCAGCGACCAUGAACUGGUCGGGGGACAAUGUCAGGUGGGGAGUUUGACUGGGGCGGUCGCCUCCGAAAGGGUAUCGGAGGCGCUCAAAGGUUCCCUCAGAAUGGACGGAAACCAUUCGAAGAGUGCAAAGGCAGAAGGGAGCUUGACUGCGACACCGACGGGUGGAGCAGGUACGAAAGUAGGACUUAGUGAUCCGGUGGUAUAAAGUGGGAUUGCCAUCGCUCAACGGAUAAAAGCUACCCUGGGAUAACAGGCUUAUCACUCCCAAGAGUUCACAUCGACGGAGUGGUUUGGCACCUGGAUGUCGGCUCAUCGCAUCCUGGGGCUGAAGUAGGUCCCAAGGGUUGGGCUGUUCGCCCAUUAAAGCGGUACGCGAGCUGGGUUCAGAACGUCGUGAGACAGUUCGGUCCCUAUCCGGCGUGGGCGUAGGAUAUUUGAGAGGAGCUGUCCUUAGUACGAGAGGACCGGGAUGGACUGGCCGCUGGUGUAUCUGUUGCAUACCAAAUGCAUGGCAGAGUAGCCAAGCCGGGACGGGAUAAACGCUGAAGGCAUCUAAGCGUGAAGCCCCCCUCAAGAUGAGAUAUCCCUACGUAAGUAGUAAGACCCCUUGAAGACGACGAGGUAGAUAGGUCAGAGGUGGAAGUACAGUAAUGUAUGGAGCUGACUGAUACUAAUCGGUCGAGGGCAUGACC
RNAcentral lists this ribosomal RNA (1521 nucleotides) under metagenome. RNAcentral describes it as "bacterial LSU rRNA". It matches the Rfam family "Bacterial large subunit ribosomal RNA", at positions 1379 to 2925 of the family's 2925-position model. The record is from RNAcentral.